GGGUUGUGAGGUUAAGCGACUAAGCGUACACGGUGGAUGCCUAGGCAGUCAGAGGCGAUGAAGGGCGUGCUAAUCUGCGAAAAGCGUCGGUAAGCUGAUAUGAAGCGUUAUAACCGACGAUACCCGAAUGGGGAAACCCAGUGCAAUACGUUGCACUAUCGUUAGAUGAAUACAUAGUCUAACGAGGCGAACCGGGGGAACUGAAACAUCUAAGUACCCCGAGGAAAAGAAAUCAACCGAGAUUCCCCCAGUAGCGGCGAGCGAACGGGGAGGAGCCCAGAGUCUGAAUCAGUUUGUGUGUUAGUGGAAGCGUCUGGAAAGUCGCACGGUACAGGGUGAUAGUCCCGUACACCAAAAUGCACAGGCUGUGAACUCGAUGAGUAGGGCGGGACACGUGACAUCCUGUCUGAAUAUGGGGGGACCAUCCUCCAAGGCUAAAUACUCCUGACUGACCGAUAGUGAACCAGUACCGUGAGGGAAAGGCGAAAAGAACCCCGGCGAGGGGAGUGAAAUAGAACCUGAAACCGUGUACGUACAAGCAGUGGGAGCACCUUCGUGGUGUGACUGCGUACCUUUUGUAUAAUGGGUCAGCGACUUAUAUUUUGUAGCAAGGUUAACCGAAUAGGGGAGCCGUAGGGAAACCGAGUCUUAACUGGGCGUCUAGUUGCAAGGUAUAGACCCGAAACCCGGUGAUCUAGCCAUGGGCAGGUUGAAGGUUGGGUAACACUAACUGGAGGACCGAACCGACUAAUGUUGAAAAAUUAGCGGAUGACUUGUGGCUGGGGGUGAAAGGCCAAUCAAACCGGGAGAUAGCUGGUUCUCCCCGAAAGCUAUUUAGGUAGCGCCUCGUGAACUCAUCUUCGGGGGUAGAGCACUGUUUCGGCUAGGGGGCCAUCCCGGCUUACCAAACCGAUGCAAACUCCGAAUACCGAAGAAUGUUAUCACGGGAGACACACGGCGGGUGCUAACGUCCGUCGUGAAGAGGGAAACAACCCAGACCGCCAGCUAAGGUCCCAAAGUCAUGGUUAAGUGGGAAACGAUGUGGGAAGGCACAGACAGCCAGGAUGUUGGCUUAGAAGCAGCCAUCAUUUAAAGAAAGCGUAAUAGCUCACUGGUCGAGUCGGCCUGCGCGGAAGAUGUAACGGGGCUAAACCAUGCACCGAAGCUGCGGCAGCGACACUUAGGUGUUGUUGGGUAGGGGAGCGUUCUGUAAGCCGUUGAAGGUGACCUGUGAGGGUUGCUGGAGGUAUCAGAAGUGCGAAUGCUGACAUAAGUAACGAUAAUGCGGGUGAAAAACCCGCACGCCGGAAGACCAAGGGUUCCUGUCCAACGUUAAUCGGGGCAGGGUGAGUCGACCCCUAAGGCGAGGCUGAAAAGCGUAGUCGAUGGGAAACAGGUUAAUAUUCCUGUACUUGGUGUUACUGCGAAGGGGGGACGGAGAAGGCUAGGCUGGCCGGGCGACGGUUGUCCCGGUUUAAGCGUGUAGGGGGAGUGACCAGGUAAAUCCGGUUGCUUAUCAACCCUGAGGCGUGAUGACGAUGCACCACGGUGCAGAAGCAGUUGAUGCCAUGCUUCCAGGAAAAGCCUCUAAGCAUCAGGUAACAUUAAAUCGUACCCCAAACCGACACAGGUGGUCAGGUAGAGAAUACUCAGGCGCUUGAGAGAACUCGGGUGAAGGAACUAGGCAAAAUGGUGCCGUAACUUCGGGAGAAGGCACGCUGGCGUUAGGUGAAAGGACUAGCUCCUGGAGCUGAAGCCAGUCGCAGAUACCAGCUGGCUGCAACUGUUUAAUAAAAACACAGCACUGUGCAAACACGAAAGUGGACGUAUACGGUGUGACGCCUGCCCGGUGCUGGAAGGUUAAUUGAUGGGGUCAGCCGCAAGGCGAAGCUCUUGAUCGAAGCCCCAGUAAACGGCGGCCGUAACUAUAACGGUCCUAAGGUAGCGAAAUUCCUUGUCGGGUAAGUUCCGACCUGCACGAAUGGCGUAAUGAUGGCCAGGCUGUCUCCACCCGAGACUCAGUGAAAUUGAACUCGCUGUGAAGAUGCAGUGUACCCGCGGCAAGACGGAAAGACCCCGUGAACCUUUACUAUAGCUUGACACUGAACAUUGAGCCUUGAUGUGUAGGAUAGGUGGGAGGCCUUGAAGUGUGGACGCCAGUCUGCAUGGAGCCAACCUUGAAAUACCACCCUUUAAUGUUUGAUGUUCUAACUCGGCCCCAUGAUCUGGGGUGAGGACAGUGUCUGGUGGGUAGUUUGACUGGGGCGGUCUCCUCCCAAAGAGUAACGGAGGAGCACGAAGGUUAGCUAAUCACGGUCGGACAUCGUGAGGUUAGUGCAAAGGCAUAAGCUAGCUUGACUGCGAGAGUGACGGCUCGAGCAGGUACGAAAGUAGGUCUUAGUGAUCCGGUGGUUCUGAAUGGAAGGGCCAUCGCUCAACGGAUAAAAGGUACUCCGGGGAUAACAGGCUGAUACCGCCCAAGAGUUCAUAUCGACGGCGGUGUUUGGCACCUCGAUGUCGGCUCAUCACAUCCUGGGGCUGAAGUAGGUCCCAAGGGUAUGGCUGUUCGCCAUUUAAAGUGGUACGCGAGCUGGGUUUAGAACGUCGUGAGACAGUUCGGUCCCUAUCUGCCGUGGGCGUUGGAAGAUUGAGAGGGGCUGCUCCUAGUACGAGAGGACCGGAGUGGACGAAUCACUGGUGUUCGGGUUGUCAUGCCAAUGGCAUUGCCCGGUAGCUAAAUUCGGAAGAGAUAACCGCUGAAAGCAUCUAAGCGGGAAACUUGCCUCGAGAUGAGUCUUCCCUGGGGCUUUAAGCCCCCUGAAGGAACGUUAAAGACUAUGACGUUGAUAGGCUGGGUGUGUAAGUGCAGCGAUGUAUUGAGCUAACCAGUACUAAUGAUCCGUGAGGCUUAACCUUACAACACCGAAGGUGUUU
RNAcentral lists this ribosomal RNA (2934 nucleotides) under Yersinia pseudotuberculosis. Its description in RNAcentral is "23S ribosomal RNA". It matches the Rfam family "Bacterial large subunit ribosomal RNA". Lineage: Bacteria; Pseudomonadati; Pseudomonadota; Gammaproteobacteria; Enterobacterales; Yersiniaceae. The record is from RNAcentral.